RNAcentral lists this ribosomal RNA (470 nucleotides) under Enterobacter hormaechei. RNAcentral describes it as "bacterial SSU rRNA". It matches the Rfam family "Bacterial small subunit ribosomal RNA", at positions 30 to 485 of the family's 1533-position model. The record is from RNAcentral. Lineage: Bacteria; Pseudomonadati; Pseudomonadota; Gammaproteobacteria; Enterobacterales; Enterobacteriaceae.
AUUGAACGCUGGCGGCAGGCCUAACACAUGCAAGUCGAACGGUAACAGGAAGCAGCUUGCUGCUUUGCUGACGAGUGGCGGACGGGUGAGUAAUGUCUGGGAAACUGCCUGAUGGAGGGGGAUAACUACUGGAAACGGUAGCUAAUACCGCAUAACGUCGCAAGACCAAAGAGGGGGACCUUCGGGCCUCUUGCCAUCGGAUGUGCCCAGAUGGGAUUAGCUAGUAGGUGGGGUAACGGCUCACCUAGGCGACGAUCCCUAGCUGGUCUGAGAGGAUGACCAGCCACACUGGAACUGAGACACGGUCCAGACUCCUACGGGAGGCAGCAGUGGGGAAUAUUGCACAAUGGGCGCAAGCCUGAUGCAGCCAUGCCGCGUGUAUGAAGAAGGCCUUUCGGGUUGUAAAGUACUUUGCAGCGGGGAGGAAGGCGAUACAGGUUAAUAACCUGUCGAUUGACGUUACCCGCAGA